Molecule: ribosomal RNA, 253 nt
Filed under: uncultured bacterium
Lineage: Bacteria
Description: partial 16S ribosomal RNA
Rfam family: Bacterial small subunit ribosomal RNA
Source: RNAcentral
UACGGGGGGAGCAAGCGUUGUUCGGAUUUACUGGGCGUAAAGGGCGCGUAGGCGGCGUGACAAGUCACUUGUGAAAUCUCCGGGCUUAACUCGGAGCGGCCAAGUGAUACUGUCGUGCUAGAGUGCGGAAGGGGCUACUGGAAUUCUCGGUGUAGCGGUGAAAUGCGUAGAUAUCGAGAGGAACACCUGAGGCGAAGGCGGGCUACUGGGCCGAUACUGACGCUGAGGAGCGAAAGCGUGGGGAGCGAACAGG